GUCCCCUUCGUCUAGCGGUAAGGACACCGGGUUUUCAUCCCGGCAACACGGGUUCGACUCCCGUAGGGGAUG
Molecule: transfer RNA, 72 nt
Filed under: Spirochaetaceae bacterium
Lineage: Bacteria; Pseudomonadati; Spirochaetota; Spirochaetia; Spirochaetales; Spirochaetaceae
Description: tRNA-Glu
Rfam family: tRNA
About the family: Transfer RNA (tRNA) molecules are approximately 80 nucleotides in length. Their secondary structure includes four short double-helical elements and three loops (D, anti-codon, and T loops).
Source: RNAcentral